CCUACGGGUGGCAGCAGUGAGGAAUAUUGGUCAAUGGGCGCGAGCCUGACCCAGCCAAGUAGCGUGAAGGAUGACUGCCCUACGGGUUGUAAACUUCUUUUAUAAAGGAAUAAAGUGAGGCACGUGUGCCUUUUUGUAUGUAUUUUAUGAAUAAGGAUCAGCUAACUCCGUGCCAGCAGCCGCGGUAAUCCGGAGGAUCCGAGCGUUUUCCGGAUUUAUUGGGUUUAAAGGGUGCGUAGAUGGGUUGUUAAGUCAGUUGUGAAAGUUUGCGGCUCAACCGUCAAAUUGCAAUUGAUACUGGCAGCCUUGAGUACAGUUGAGGUAGGCGGAAUUCGUGGUGGAGCGGUGAAAUGCUUAGAUAUCACGAAGAACUCCGAUUGCGAAGGCAGCCUACUAAACUGCCACUGACAUUGAUGCUCGAAAGUGUGGGUAUCAAACAGGAGUAGAUACCCUAGUAGUC
Molecule: ribosomal RNA, 460 nt
Filed under: uncultured bacterium
Lineage: Bacteria
Description: partial 16S ribosomal RNA
Rfam family: Bacterial small subunit ribosomal RNA
Source: RNAcentral